This 395-nucleotide ribosomal RNA is filed under the name uncultured bacterium. RNAcentral describes it as "partial 16S ribosomal RNA". It matches the Rfam family "Bacterial small subunit ribosomal RNA", at positions 523 to 918 of the family's 1533-position model. The record is from RNAcentral.
AUACGUAGGGUGCAAGCGUUAAUCGGAAUUACUGGGCGUAAAGCGUGCGCAGGCGGUUUUGUAAGACAGUGGUGAAAUCCCCGGGCUCAACCUGGGAACUGCCAUUUUGACUGCAAAGCUGGAGUGCGGCAGAGGGGGAUGGGAUUCCGCGUGUAGCAGUGAAAUGCGUAGAUAUGCGGAGGAACACCGAUGGCGAAGGCAAUCCCCUGGGCCUGCACUGACGCUCAUGCACGAAAGCGUGGGGAGCAAACAGGAUUAGAUACCCUGGUAGUCCACGCCCUAAACGAUGUCAACUGGUUGUUGGGGAUUUAUUUUCUCAGUAACGAAGCUAACGCGUGAAGUUGACCGCCUGGGGAGUACGGCCGCAAGGUUAAAACUUAAAGGAAUUGACGGGG